Molecule: ribosomal RNA, 253 nt
Filed under: uncultured bacterium
Lineage: Bacteria
Description: partial 16S ribosomal RNA
Rfam family: Bacterial small subunit ribosomal RNA
Source: RNAcentral
UACGGGGGGGGCAAGCGUUGUUCGGAAUUACUGGGCGUAAAGGGCGCGUAGGCGGUUCGCUAAGUUGAAUGUGAAAACUCUGGGCUUAACCCAGAGCCUGCAUCCAAAACUGGCGAACUGGAGUACUGGAGGGGAAAGCGGAAUUCCUGGUGUAGCGGUGAAAUGCGUAGAUAUCAGGAGGAACACCGGUGGCGAAGGCGGCUUUCUGGACAGUAACUGACGCUGAGGCGCGAAAGCCGGGGGAGCAAACAGG